GGAUGAACGCUGGCGGCGUGCCUAAUACAUGCAAGUCGAACGCGCAGCGAAAGGUGCUUGCACCUUUCAAGCGAGUGGCGAACGGGUGAGUAACACGUGGAUAACCUGCCUCAAGGCUGGGGAUAACAUUUGGAAACAGAUGCUAAUACCGAAUAAAACUUAGUAUCGCAUGAUACAAAGUUGAAAGGCGCUACGGCGUCACCUAGAGAUGGGUCCGCGGUGCAUUAGUUAGUUGGUGGGGUAAAGGCCUACCAAGACAAUGAUGCAUAGCCGAGUUGAGAGACUGAUCGGCCACAUUGGGACUGAGACACGGCCCAAACUCCUACGGGAGGCUGCAGUAGGGAAUCUUCCACAAUGGGCGAAAGCCUGAUGGAGCAACGCCGCGUGUGUGAUGAAGGCUUUAGGGUCGUAAAGCACUGUUGUAUGGGAAGAAAUGCUAGAAUAGGGAAUGAUUCUAGUUCGACGGUACCAUACCAGAAAGGGACGGCUAAAUAC
Molecule: ribosomal RNA, 495 nt
Filed under: uncultured bacterium
Lineage: Bacteria
Description: bacterial SSU rRNA
Rfam family: Bacterial small subunit ribosomal RNA
Source: RNAcentral